UACGUAGGGGGCGAGCGUUAUCCGGAUUUACUGGGUGUAAAGGGAGCGUAGACGGUUUUUCAAGUCUGAAGUGAAAGCCCGCGGCUCAACUGCGGAACGGCUUUGGAAACUGAGGGACUAGAGUGCUGGAGGGGCAGGCGGAAUUCCUGGUGUAGCGGUGAAAUGCGUAGAUAUCAGGAGGAACACCGGUGGCGAAGGCGGCCUGCUGGACAGUAACUGACGUUGAGGCUCGAAAGCGUGGGGAGCAAACA
This 251-nucleotide ribosomal RNA is filed under the name uncultured bacterium. RNAcentral describes it as "partial 16S ribosomal RNA". It matches the Rfam family "Bacterial small subunit ribosomal RNA", at positions 524 to 774 of the family's 1533-position model. The record is from RNAcentral.